This 445-nucleotide ribosomal RNA is filed under the name uncultured bacterium. RNAcentral describes it as "partial 16S ribosomal RNA". It matches the Rfam family "Bacterial small subunit ribosomal RNA", at positions 354 to 796 of the family's 1533-position model. The record is from RNAcentral.
GUGAGGAAUAUUGGUCAAUGGGCGGGAGCCUGAACCAGCCAAGUCGCGUGAAGGAAGAAGGAUCUAUGGUUCGUAAACUUCUUUUGCAGGGGAAUAAAGUGCAGGACGUGUCCUGUUUUGUAUGUACCCUGAGAAUAAGGAUCGGCUAACUCCGUGCCAGCAGCCGCGGUAAUACGGAGGAUCCGAGCGUUAUCCGGAUUUAUUGGGUUUAAAGGGUGCGUAGGAGGUUUGAUAAGUCAGCGGUGAAAGUUUGCAGCUUAACUGUAAAAAUGCCGUUGAAACUGUCGGACUUGAGUGUAAAUGAGGUAGGCGUAAUGCGUGGUGUAGCGGUGAAAUGCAUAGAUAUCACGCAGAACUCCGAUUGCGAAGGCAGCUUACUAAGCUACAACUGACACUGAAGCACGAAAGCGUGGGGAUCAAACAGGAUUAGAUACCCCGGUAGUCC